UCUAUUAUUUUAAGAUUGAUAUGUAAUGCUUUGGAGGAAUCAAUAUGCAUUAACUGGGCUGGCACUCUCUAUCAGUCCCCUGUAGAUGGCAUGUUCUGUCCAUAAUAAGACUCCACCUAGCAAGUUAAACUGUUGAGUAGGUGAAUACAGAAAAUCAUUGGUUCUAUUUAACAGGGUAUGGGGUUUAUUUCAAAAUGUAUUACCAGGGUGGAGGAAAUCAUAUAAGGCUUCAUAAUUUUAUUGGUUAGGGUAACCCAUCUAGUAACCUCCUCUACACCAGCGUUGAGCAAAAGACGACGAGACCUGCCCAUAUCAGACCCUUACUGUGAGCUGCCCAGGAGACACAUCAUCAGAGAACAAAAGAGAAGGAUGCUUGUUUUUGUCAGCGCGAUGCGUGAAGAAAUCAGCUGGCUGCACAGACUCUGAUAGUCUCUCUAGUGAGCCAUGUUUCCGUGAAGCAAAUACCGUUACAGUCUCUGAUGUCUCUCUGGAAGGCUACCCUUGUUUGGAUUUCAUUAACCUUGUUGUCAAGAGACUGGACAUUGGCGAGUAGUAUGCUAGGGAGUGGUGCACGAUGUGCCCGUCUCCGGAGCCAGACCAGAAGAACACUUCGUUUGCCCCUUUUACGACAUCAUUGUUUUGGGUCGCCUGCUGGGAUCCGAUCCAUUGCAAGGCAGAAGGCAGAACAGAACACAGGAUCCGGGAAAGUCAUAUUCCUGGUCGUAAUGAUGGAACGCGAAGCGAGGCGCCAUAACUGUCGGCGCCAGAAGUCUGAAAUCUACCAGGAACCUAUAUCUGGGGGCACUGAUGGGACCACAGAUGACAAAUGAUGGCUACUAUAGUCUUAUCUACCCAUAAACACCAUGUAGGGGGAAUUAAUUGCUGUAGCUCAUGACAUUUGAAAGCAAGGUAGAAGGAAAAACAGCUCAUUAUGAAAGGAUACCCAGCUAGCCCAUUUGGUUCCGUGGAAGUUGUGGGAACGUAGAUUUUUUGUUGACAUUGGUUGUGGAAACGAUGCAAUAAGUUUACUGACCAGUAAAACAAUAUUUUUUAAACGUUAUGGGAACAUUUCUUUUUAGGUUGCUGAGAGGUUCUGAGAACAUUUUACUCUGGUUUCCUGGGAGGUUUUAUUAAUGCUCUAAGAAUGAAAAUUAUUGAUUAUUUUGAGGUUUUUGAAUAACUUCCAAUUAAUGUUUUAUUUAGACUUUUAAUAACAUGUCUAGCUUAUUUUGGUUUAACUUCAUUAUACUACAAGCACAGAUACUGUAGGACACAUGUCAAUUAUUUUCCUUAGGUAUUAAUCAUGUGAACAUCAGUGAGGUUCAAACCUAUGAUUUUCUGUUCUCUAUCCAUGGGAUUAUCCCAGUGCGCCACCAGGAUGAAGCUAG
Long non-coding RNA from Oncorhynchus gorbuscha (pink salmon), 1388 nucleotides. RefSeq lists it as uncharacterized. NCBI's taxonomy places the organism in Eukaryota, Metazoa, Chordata, Actinopteri, Salmoniformes, Salmonidae. The record is from RefSeq and is a predicted model, not a curated record. The transcript has 4 exons.